AAGUCGUAACAAGGUUUCCGUAGGUGAACCUGCGGAAGGAUCAUUUCCAAAAAGUGCUAUCGAAUAUAUACACCGAAUGGUGUGUGAAAAGUUGAACAGUCUCUAAUUACUCUCGAAGAAAGUGCAAGGGUGGAUAUACAAUGUCUCAAGGGACGCUGGAUAUACACACUAAAGCUCUCUGAGAGAGGCCUUGAUGAACCCACAUCUUUGAAGGUGAAGCUAUGAGUCAAAUACUCUCUCUUCGUGAGACUGUAUUUUUCCAUCUCCAGCCUAAGAAGACGUUAACAAAAGAUAAAGGUAUAUUUUUUCUCCAAACGUAUAGAUAUGUUGGCACGAAGCGACAUAUGUAUACCACAAAGUACAAAAAAUAUAUUGACAACUUUUAACGGUGGAUCUCUUGGCUCGU
This 406-nucleotide unclassified non-coding RNA is filed under the name fungal sp. RNAcentral's name for it is "partial internal transcribed spacer region". The stretch from base 1 to 46 matches the Rfam family "Eukaryotic small subunit ribosomal RNA", at positions 1786 to 1831 of the family's 1831-position model. Lineage: Eukaryota; Fungi. The record is from RNAcentral.